Molecule: long non-coding RNA, 1368 nt
Filed under: Parus major (Great Tit)
Lineage: Eukaryota; Metazoa; Chordata; Aves; Passeriformes; Paridae
Description: lncRNA (ENSPMJG00000010117.1)
Source: RNAcentral
AUGGCUCGGCCACGCGUGUCCUCGGCACAAACGUGGCACAGGCGUGGGAGGGGAGCCCCCGAGGCCCCGGGCGGUGCCGGCAAGGGGAGCAGGGCUCCGGGCUGGCAGGUGCUGGUGUGUCCUCGGGGCACCUGCAGCGAGGUUCUAAUGGCCACAGCAGAGGCCGGGGUGUCCCCAGCCCACGGGUGGCCGUGUGGCGGUCCCCGGGUCACAGCUCCCUGCCGAGGGGCCGUGCCGGGAGCGCUGCAGAUUUCACCAGCCGCUGCCCUUGACCGCAUCUCUCACCCCGAGCCGGCCGCCCUGGACUUUCCCCGCUCUGGCGUCACGGUUGUUCCCUGGCUGUGGCAGAGUGGUGCCAGGCUGUCCAUAGCUCCAGCUGUCCACGGGGCUGGGCUCUCUCCACCUGCGGCAAGGACAGCUAUUCUAUUCUGGCCACGUCCUGUCUGCUGGGACAGGCCCAUCACUUGGGCUCUGCUUGCUUUAACAGCCUCCAGCAUCGCCCAGGUCUCACAGUUUGGUCCAGACCUGCUGCCCGGGGCACGCAGAGCCUGGGGAAGGGCCCGAUCCCAUCAGGACCUGGCAGCACUGGGUAGGUUCUGCCCACCCUGCCAUGUGUGGAAGGUGGCAGAAGGAAGGGUCAGACCCUGCUCUCCCUGGGCAGGAUCCGGGCUGUGUCUGGUCCAGGUGGCCUGUGAAGGUCUGGCAGCAUCCCGUGCCAUGCCCGGUGUCACGGACCCCUCACCAUCGUGUCCCAGGGCCAGCCCUUCCCACAGAGAGGUCACUGGACGCGGCCACCUGGCUCUGCCCCUGGAGGGCGUUUUCUGGGUGGCUCCCAUGCACCCCACGGCAUUGGGAGCCAGUGGCCAGGGCUGGCCCCGUGUCCCCGGCCCCUUAUCAGGGGGAUUGCUCAACAGCAGGCAUGAAAUCGGGGAUGGGCAGGGGCCACGGCACUGCCUCGCUUCUCAGCUGGGGGGGUCUGGGUCUGCCUCAUUCCUGGGCGACCAUGUCUGGGUUCGCCAUGGGCUGGGCACCCCCAGCUUUGUGGGGAGCCACCCGCACCAUCUUGGCUGCCACUGCUGUCCCCCUCCUGCUUUACUGAGCUGUGACACGCGGGACGGCGAAACUGAGGCACGGACGGCAGCGUGCAGGGUCGGGACACGCUGUCCCCGCUUUUCGUGCCUCUCCAACCCACGGGGUCCUGGCGGUCCUUCCUUUUCUGCUGGGGGGCACGGCCCAGCCCCGGCCCCGCUCCCCCCGCCUCCUCCCUCCCUCCUCCCCCGGGGGCGGGGGGGGAUGAGGGGGGACCGGGCGGGCUGGGGCGGGGAGGGGAAGGGAAGGAGGUGGGAUUAUGGAGACGGGACCCAAUGA